UGGGGAAUUUUGGACAAUGGGCGAAAGCCUGAUCCAGCAAUGCCGCGUGUGUGAAGAAGGCCUUCGGGUUGUAAAGCACUUUUGUCCGGAAAGAAAUCCUUGGCUCUAAUACAGUCGGGGGACGACGGUACCGGAAGAAUAAGCACCGGCUAACUACGUGCCAGCAGCCGCGGUAAUACGUAGGGUGCAAGCGUUAAUCGGAAUUACUGGGCGUAAAGCGUGCGCAGGCGGUUUGCUAAGACCGAUGUGAAAUCCCCGGGCUCAACCUGGGAACUGCAUUGGUGACUGGCAGGCUAGAGUAUGGCAGAGGGGGGUAGAAUUCCACGUGUAGCAGUGAAAUGCGUAGAGAUGUGGAGGAAUACCGAUGGCGAAGGCAGCCCCCUGGGCCAAUACUGACGCUCAUGCACGAAAGCGUGGGGAGCAAACAGGAUUAGAUACCCUGGUAGUCCAGCGCCCUAAACGAUGUCAACUAGUUGUUGGGGACUUCAUUUCCUUAGUAACGUAGCUAACGCGUGAAGUUGACCGCCUGGGGAGUACGGUCG
This 542-nucleotide ribosomal RNA is filed under the name uncultured bacterium. RNAcentral's name for it is "partial 16S ribosomal RNA". It matches the Rfam family "Bacterial small subunit ribosomal RNA", at positions 355 to 888 of the family's 1533-position model. The record is from RNAcentral.